UUUUACCUCAUUCCUCUUCUUCUGCGUCAUCGCUUCUCCUUUGAUUGAAAAGACUCAGUCUUUAUCGAUGAAAAUACCGUAAAUGAAAUGCUUGCUAGGGUUUGUCUCUCUCUACAUUUUCGGAGCUUGGGGUCGUUCGGGGGUAUUUAGGAAUAUUUUGGCAAAAGUCACGUGUUAACCCUACUUUAGCUCUGACACGUUUGCUUUACACCGCUCAAACGAACAUCUCAUUUCCACCCGAUUUGCAGUCUCUAUGCUCUGUUUCUUCCUCAAAUUUCCAAUGCUGCUCACCUCCUCUUCCAAUUUCCCUCAUCUCUUUUAGUCUUCUCUCUUCCUGGACAGUUUAUUCGCCUUGAUUGUACAGUUAUAAGGUGAGUUUUAGUUUAUUUUCUUCUUGAUUUUCGGAAUAGCUGCUGCGUAUAAAUUGUUUAAACUGAUUAAAUUAUUCGUCCAUCAUUCUUUGUAAUUCGUCCAAAAAAAAACUGGAAUAUUUGGAGUUGUUUCCCAUUGUAGUUGGGGGUGAAUUCAAUCCCCGCAGGGCGUUCUAAGCUCUCUAAAGGUACUCUUUUUUUCCCCUCAAAAUUUGAUUUAUGAAAAAUCCUAAUAGUUUGUUAUAUUUGAAAUAAGAAAUAAGAGAAAUAUUCAAAUGUGUUUGUUUGGCUAAAAAAGUUAUCAAUAUACUUUAUAAGCUUAAAAACAAUCAAAAGAGGAUAAGGGUAAAUCGUAAUCAAAUAUAAUAUGCCCUAGAGAUGACAAUAGUAGUGUUGUAAAAGUAGAUCUGAUAAAUGCUAGAUUCAGAGAGAGAGAGAGUUUAGAGAUAGAGAGAAGUUGAGAAUUGUAUCAUCAAUAAUAACACUCGGCCCUAUUACAAGGUGAAGGUCUCCUUUAUAUAGUAGGAGACCUUCAUCGAAACAAUCAAAAUAAAAAGUACAGAAGUGGUUGGCUUCUUUGUACGGAAGAAGCCAGACCCUAAACGACGUCGCUUUCUGUUCUAUCAGUUAGGCCGUGCCCUCCCUUGGGCCGGCCUCAUUAUAAUGGACGUGCUCACAUGGCAUGGGGACGUUGAGAGCCAAAUUUUGCCUUAUACAGUGUUGUUGCUGUUUGCAGGGUUUGUACUUGGUGCCUAUGCGUGUAUUGUAUCCGCUAUCGCGUUUCUGUAAGCAAAUGCAAACUACUACUACCUAUGAAAUGGUGAAAGGAUUAGUAUCACAACUAGGACCAACAAGAAAACAAAAGUAUAUCUUUUCCUUUAAUCUCACUUUUGGAAUUCUGUUAUUAGCAGACUCAUUUUUUAGAGUUGGGUAUUUAUUACUCUCUUUGUCUCAAUAUAUUUGAUGUUGUUUAAUUGAGCACAAAACUCAAGAAAGAAAGAAAGAAUUUUGAAAUUUUAUGUUCUAACACAAACUAUAGAUAUUUGUGUAACUAUAAAUCAUCUUAUAUGGGAAAAUUUCAUUCUUUUUGGCAUAGACUGAAAGGAAAUACUAUCAUAUAAAUUGGGACGGAGACACUAUGAAUAUGGACUUUGCUAGGAUGCACUGUUUCUUUUAUGUUUACAUGGAAAUUGGAAAGGAUUUGUCAUUUUCUUGUAGGAAAAGUUGACGCCCGAGUAGAAAAGAUAGGUGCAUUGCAAAAAUUAUCGAUGGUAAUGCCAUCCAUAGAUAUUCUACAUUCCGCCCUGAGGAAAGCAAAGAGGGUUUCCCUUACAAAGGGUAAUCUUUUCCUUUGUGUCUAUAUAGUAUAUAGUUCACCACUUUCUUAUAGUUUCAAUUUUUUUGUUGGAUUCAAGCAUGGAUGAAAUAAAUUAUGACAUUUAGUUAAAUGUUUAAUAGACAUUGUUAAUCUUGCAAAAUGCGAGAUACGGAAACUAUGAAGAGGUAAAUUUUAAUCAGUCUACAUAUAGAUUCACCUAUUACGUGCUCUGCCUCUACAAUUACUAAGUAAGCUUUGUCCAUCUUUUUUUGCUUCUCUUUAUCCCAGCUUAUCUGCACAUGCUUGUGUUUGGUAUUCUCGAUUUUGUUUUUCACAGUAUCGCAAAUGCUGCUGGAUUCAAAUGUAGUUGCAUGCGGCUUUUGGAUGCAAAUUUAGUUACUACUGGAUUUCGAAUUGGAUAUGAAGUAUUGAACCCG
RNAcentral lists this long non-coding RNA (2126 nucleotides) under Nicotiana tabacum (common tobacco). RNAcentral describes it as "long non-coding RNA (NTAB_LNC014603)". Lineage: Eukaryota; Viridiplantae; Streptophyta; Magnoliopsida; Solanales; Solanaceae. The record is from RNAcentral.